AGAGAGUAUCAUCAAUGUGCUUG
RNAcentral lists this non-coding RNA (23 nucleotides) under Arabidopsis thaliana (thale cress). The record is from RNAcentral. Lineage: Eukaryota; Viridiplantae; Streptophyta; Magnoliopsida; Brassicales; Brassicaceae.